Molecule: ribosomal RNA, 468 nt
Filed under: uncultured bacterium
Lineage: Bacteria
Description: partial 16S ribosomal RNA
Rfam family: Bacterial small subunit ribosomal RNA
Source: RNAcentral
GACGAACGCUGGCGGCGUGCUUAACACAUGCAAGUCGAACGGAAAGGCCCUGCUUUUGUGGGGUGCUCGAGUGGCGAACGGGUGAGUAACACGUGAGUAACCUGCCCUUGACUUUGGGAUAACUUCAGGAAACUGGGGCUAAUACCGGAUAGGAGCUCCUGCUGCAUGGGGGUGGUUGGAAAGUUUCGGCGGUACGGGAUGGACUAGCGGCUUAUCAGCUUGUUGGUGGGGUAGGGGCUUACCAGGGCUUUGACGGGUAGCCGGCCUGGGAGGGUGACCGGCCACAGUGGGCCUGCGAUACGGCCCAGACUCCUACGGGAGGCAGCAGGGGGGAAUAUGGCACAAUGGGCGGAAGCCUGAUGCAGCAACGCCGCGUGCGGGAUGACGGCUUUCGGGUGGUAAACCGCUUUCGCCUGUGACGAAGCGUGAGUGACGGUAAUGGGUAAAGAAGCACCGGCUAACUACGUG